RNAcentral lists this ribosomal RNA (554 nucleotides) under uncultured archaeon. RNAcentral describes it as "bacterial SSU rRNA". It matches the Rfam family "Archaeal small subunit ribosomal RNA", at positions 325 to 879 of the family's 1478-position model. The record is from RNAcentral.
ACGGGGUGCAGCAGGCGCGAAAACUUUACAAUGCGGGAAACCGUGAUAAGGGGACACCGAGUGCCAGCAUCAUAUGCUGGCUGUCCGGGUGUGUAAAAUACACCUGUUAGCAAGGGCCGGGCAAGACCGGUGCCAGCCGCCGCGGUAACACCGGCGGCCCGAGUGGUGAUCGUGAUUAUUGGGUCUAAAGGGUCCGUAGCCGGUUUGGUCAGUCCUCCGGGAAAUCUGAUGGCUCAACCAUUAGGCUUUCGGGGGAUACUGCCAGGCUUGGAACCGGGAGAGGUAAGAGGUACUACAGGGGUAGGAGUGAAAUCUUGUAAUCCCUGUGGGACCACCUGUGGCGAAGGCGUCUUAUCAGAACGGGUUCGACGGUGAGGGACGAAAGCUGGGGGCACGAACCGGAUUAGAUACCCGGGUAGUCCCAGCCGUAAACGAUGCUCGCUAGGUGUCAGGCAUGGCGCGACCGUGUCUGGUGCCGCAGGGAAGCCGUGAAGCGAGCCACCUGGGAAGUACGGCCGCAAGGCUGAAACUUAAAGGAAUUGGCGGGGGAGCAC